This 344-nucleotide unclassified non-coding RNA is filed under the name soil metagenome. RNAcentral describes it as "partial contains 5.8S ribosomal RNA, internal transcribed spacer 2, and large subunit ribosomal RNA". The stretch from base 1 to 120 matches the Rfam family "5.8S ribosomal RNA", at positions 35 to 154 of the family's 154-position model. The record is from RNAcentral.
GAUGAAGAACGUAGCGAAAUGCGAUACGUAAUGUGAAUUGCAGAAUUCAGUGAAUCAUCGAGUCUUUGAACGCACAUUGCGCCCCCUGGUAUUCCGGGGGGCAUGCCUGUCCGAGCGUCAUUGCUGCCCUCAAGCACGGCUUGUGUGUUGGGCCUCCGUCCUCCUCCCGGGGGACGGGCCCGAAAGGCAGCGGCGGCACCGCGUCCGGUCCUCGAGCGUAUGGGGCUUCGUCACCCGCUCUGUAGGCCCGGCCGGCGCUUGCCGAUCAACCAAACUUUUUUCCAGGUUGACCUCGGAUCAGGUAGGGAUACCCGCUGAACUUAAGCAUAUCAAUAAGCGGAGGA